GUCUACGGCCAUACCACCCUGAACGCGCCCGAUCUCGUCUGAUCUCGGAAGCUAAGCAGGGUCGGGCCUGGUUAGUACUUGGAUGGGAGAAAUAGGUGGUAUUGUGGGGA
This 110-nucleotide ribosomal RNA is filed under the name Pan paniscus (pygmy chimpanzee). Lineage: Eukaryota; Metazoa; Chordata; Mammalia; Primates; Hominidae. The record is from RNAcentral.